UACGUAGGGAGCAAGCGUUGUCCGGAAUCAUUGGGCGUAAAGAGCGUGUAGGCGGCUUGUUAAGUCUUGCGUGAAAUCUCGGGGCUCAACCCCGAGCGGUCGUGAGAAACUGGCAGGCUAGAGUGCGGGAGAGGAGAGUGGAAUUCCUGGUGUAGCGGUGAAAUGCGUAGAUAUCAGGAAGAACACCCGUGGCGAAGGCGGCUCUCUGGACCGCAACUGACGCUGAGGCGCGAAAGCGUGGGGAGCAAACAGG
Molecule: ribosomal RNA, 253 nt
Filed under: uncultured bacterium
Lineage: Bacteria
Description: partial 16S ribosomal RNA
Rfam family: Bacterial small subunit ribosomal RNA
Source: RNAcentral